UUUAACGUUAAUGAAGUCUAG
Molecule: non-coding RNA, 21 nt
Filed under: Caenorhabditis elegans
Lineage: Eukaryota; Metazoa; Nematoda; Chromadorea; Rhabditida; Rhabditidae
Source: RNAcentral